Chenopodium quinoa (quinoa) is the source of this 578-nucleotide long non-coding RNA. RefSeq lists it as uncharacterized. NCBI's taxonomy places the organism in Eukaryota, Viridiplantae, Streptophyta, Magnoliopsida, Caryophyllales, Amaranthaceae. The record is from RefSeq and is a predicted model, not a curated record. The transcript is spliced from 2 exons.
UUGGACGGGUCUCUUUGACCAAUUUUGUAGUAGUGAAAUAUGGCCAUUUUAAAAUAUGGGCCAAGCCCAAAUCAUCAAUUCACAAAUAACCCUAAUUGUACACCAUAAUCUUUCUCUCAUUCACGCUGCUCAUUCUCAUUCUAUCUCAUCUCUCUUUCCAGCCUUUCCUUUUUCCUCCCUCUUCUCUACUUGCCAUUUUUUAUUUUGUCAUCAAAAAGCCCUUUUGGACCCUAAUCUUCUCGUUAAUCUACAUUGUAAAAGUCCGAGAAGAGUAGUCCGAGAAGAGGAUGGAGCAGCAGCAACCGUAAGCCGUGAUUGGACUGAGUGUUGAUGCAACGCCCAACUUCUGCUAUUGUAGUUUACUCUUCCUCCCUUUAGUUUAGGCAAUUGGUUGAUUUUGGUUUGAUUAAAUAUGUUUAUUAGUAUCAAUUCUUCAUCAAUUAGUUGUGUUCUCUUAAUUUCCAUGUCUAGCUAAUUUCGUUUGUUCUAGGUUAGGGAUGUAGUCUUUUAUAUUUCUAUUUCUAUCUAUGAAUUGAAUUGUAUUGUUUGGGUUUGAUUUAUAUGAUGCAAUUUGAUAA